Molecule: long non-coding RNA, 951 nt
Organism: Sorex fumeus (smoky shrew)
Lineage: Eukaryota; Metazoa; Chordata; Mammalia; Eulipotyphla; Soricidae
Exons: 2
Source: RefSeq, a predicted model, not a curated record
CCAGGUUCUUCCCUGCUGCCUUUCUCCUCUGACCCCCGACCACCCAGUCUAAGUUUGAGAGCAGGAGCCUCCCCGGCCCCCACACCUGGGCAGCAGGGCCCAGCCAGACAUCUCAUAAUCCUGGCCCACCUCUCUGGUAUCUCCCCCAGGAGGACACCUGUCAGGAUUUUGCCAUCUCCUGCACAGCCUGAGGGCAGCUAACAGGCCUCUUGGCGAGGGUUAGCUGUGUGUGCGGGGGCUUAAGGACCUCCUGAGGACCGCCGCUCUCUGCCUGUCCAGGAAGGGCCUGGGGGGAGCCAGGCACCCAACACCCCCACCUGCCUAACCCGUGGCCCACCUGCCACCGUCUGUGCCUACAGGCUAUGUCCCCAAGCCUGCCCCAUGUGUGCUCUCUAGGGCCCUUCCCCCCCCCAUAGGGACAGGGGCUGACCUCUGCCCCACGCCUGCUCAUGCCCACCAGAGUAUAGAAAGCCAUACCCGCUGUCACAGGGUGGGUCACAGAUGCCGACACGCCCGCCCACGCCUGUCCCCCUGCCGAGACUGUAAGGUGUGGAGACUGGGAAUCUUGCCUACAGCCCCCCGCGCCCGUCAGGCAGAACCCCAGUCAAGCUGAGCAGGUUUCUUCAGGGGCUGUCUGGCUGGGUGGCCAUGACGAUGCCGAUGACGCUGCUGAACAAGUUUGGUGACUGUUCUGAGUGCAGCUGGCCUGACACCGUUCCCACGGCCCCUCCGCCCCCACCAUGAGAGUAGGCGGAUGUGGGGAGGGUGCUGGCACCCUCUGCUCGGCGCUGAGGAACUGAGCUAGCGCCGACUGACAGCCUGUUCUUCCGAGGAAUAACCGGGCAAGCCCAGAAGUUUCGCUGAGCCCCCUGGCUGGGGGCUGCUUGUCUGCUAUCCUGUACCUUUAUUUUUAAGCAAAAUAAAGAUUUCCUUCUUCUUGCCAUAUCUUUA